CCUACGGGUGGCAGCAGUAGGGAAUCUUCCACAAUGGGCGAAAGCCUGAUGGAGCAACGCCGCGUGGGUGAAGAAGGUCUUCGGAUCGUAAAACCCUGUUGUUAGAGAAGAAAGUGCGUGAGAGUAACUGUUCACGUUUCGACUGUAUCUAACCAGAAAGCCACGGCUAACUACGUGCCAGCAGCCGCGGUAAUACGUAGGUGGCAAGCGUUAUCCGGAUUUAUUGGGCGUAAAGGGAACGCGGGCGGUCUGUUAAGUUUGAUGUGAAAGCCUUCGGCUUAACCGGAGUAGUGCAUUGGAAACUGGGAGACUUGAGUGCAGAAGAGGAGAGUGGAACUCCAUGUGUAGCGGUGAAAUGCGUAGAUAUAUGGAAGAACACCAGUGGCGAAAGCGGCUUUCUGGUCUGUAACUGACGCUGAGGUUCGAAAGCGUGGGUAGCAAACAGGAUUAGAUACCCCUGUAGUC
RNAcentral lists this ribosomal RNA (465 nucleotides) under uncultured bacterium. RNAcentral describes it as "partial 16S ribosomal RNA". It matches the Rfam family "Bacterial small subunit ribosomal RNA", at positions 338 to 795 of the family's 1533-position model. The record is from RNAcentral.